This 506-nucleotide ribosomal RNA is filed under the name uncultured Glomeromycotina. RNAcentral describes it as "partial small subunit ribosomal RNA". It matches the Rfam family "Eukaryotic small subunit ribosomal RNA", at positions 591 to 1092 of the family's 1831-position model. Lineage: Eukaryota; Fungi; Glomeromycota. The record is from RNAcentral.
CCAAUAGCGUAUAUUAAAGUUGUUGCAGUUAAAAAGCUCGUAGUUGAAUUUCGGGAUUGACACAUCGGUCGUGCCUUAAGGGGUAUGAACUGGUGUAGUCAAUUUCUCACCUUCUGGAGAACCACGAUGCCCUUAAUUGGGUGUCGCGGGGAACCAGGACCUUUACUUUGAAAAAAUUAGAGUGUUUAAAGCAGGCAUUUUGCUUGAAUACAUUAGCAUGGAAUAAUUAAAUAGGACGGCAUGAUUCUAUUUUGUUGGUUUCUAGGAUCACCGUAAUGAUUAAUAGGGAUAGUUGGGGGCAUUAGUAUUCAAUUGUCAGAGGUGAAAUUCUUGGAUUUAUUGAAGACUAACUACUGCGAAAGCAUUUGCCAAGGAUGUUUUCAUUAAUCAAGAACGAAAGUUAGGGGAUCGAAGACGAUCAGAUACCGUCGUAGUCUUAACCAUAAACUAUGCCGACUAGGAAUCAGACGAUGUUAAUUUUUUAAUGACUCGUUUGGCACCUUACG